RNAcentral lists this ribosomal RNA (775 nucleotides) under uncultured Neocallimastigales. RNAcentral's name for it is "partial large subunit ribosomal RNA". It matches the Rfam family "Eukaryotic large subunit ribosomal RNA", at positions 24 to 649 of the family's 3401-position model. The record is from RNAcentral. Lineage: Eukaryota; Fungi; Neocallimastigomycota; Neocallimastigomycetes; Neocallimastigales.
UAUGUGAUCGUCUCUCGCAUAUCAAUAAGCGGAGGAAAAGAAACUAACAAGGAUUCCCCUAGUAACGGCGAGUGAAGCGGGAAGAGCUCAAAUUUGAAAUCUUAAAGGGUUUCCCUUUACGAAUUGUAGUUUAAAGAAGUGUUUUCUGUUGAGGUUUUGGUAAAAGUUCUUUGGAAUAGGACAUCAUAGAGGGUGAGAAUCCCGUAUUUGACCUUUACUUUCAACUUUGUGAUACACUUCCAAAGAGUCGGAUUGUUUGGGAAUGCAGUCCAGAAUGGGUGGUAAAUUUCAUCUAAAGCUAAAUAUUGGCGAGAGACCGAUAGCGAACAAGUACCGUGAGGGAAAGAUGAAAAGAACUUUGAAAAGAGAGUUAAACAGUACGUGAAAUUGUCAAAAGGGAAGCGUUUGACACCAGUGUUGUUUUUCUGAAAAUCAAUUAAAGAACUGUUUAUGCUAAGUUGUUUAGACUUUAUCAGCUAAUCUGUUUAGUUUUGAGCUUUUCUUUAAUGCACUUUUCAGUUAACAAGUCAACAUCAAUUUCUUUUGCUGUAAAAAAGCUUGAGGAAGGUGGCUUGAGAUUCGUCUUAAGUGUUUAUAGCCUCUUGCCUAUGCAGUCGGAGAGAUUGAGGUCUGCAGCGUAGAUCCUUCGGGGCUAAUGCAUUUGUGCUAAGUUAUAAGCAUUUUAUAGACAACUUGUUGACUAUGAUUUGUCUUGUAGCUUACUCGCUUAUGUUAUUUUACCUACGCUUAGGAUGUUGAGUAGCGACAUACGCAC